GUGCCAGCCGCCGCGGUAAUACAGAGGGUGCAAGCGUUAAUCGGAAUUACUGGGCGUAAAGCGUGCGUAGACGGUUACAUAAGUCGGGUGUGAAAGCCCCGGGCUCAACCUGGGAAUUGCAUUCGAGACUGCGUAGCUAGGGUGCGGAAGAGGGAAGCGGAAUUUCCGGUGUAGCGGUGAAAUGCGUAGAUAUCGGAAGGAACACCAGUGGCGAAAGCGGCUUCCUGGUCCAGCACCGACGUUCAGGCACGAAAGCGUGGGGAGCAAACAGGAUUAGAAACCCUAGUAGUCC
RNAcentral lists this ribosomal RNA (292 nucleotides) under uncultured bacterium. Its description in RNAcentral is "partial 16S ribosomal RNA". It matches the Rfam family "Bacterial small subunit ribosomal RNA", at positions 505 to 796 of the family's 1533-position model. The record is from RNAcentral.